RNAcentral lists this ribosomal RNA (200 nucleotides) under Bacillus cereus. RNAcentral describes it as "partial 16S ribosomal RNA". The record is from RNAcentral. Lineage: Bacteria; Bacillati; Bacillota; Bacilli; Caryophanales; Bacillaceae.
AUGCGGUUCAAAAUGUUAUCCGGUAUUAGCCCCGGUUUCCCGGAGUUAUCCCAGUCUUAUGGGCAGGUUACCCACGUGUUACUCACCCGUCCGCCGCUAACUUCAUAAGAGCAAGCUCUUAAUCCAUUCGCUCGACUUGCAUGUAUUAGGCACGCCGCCAGCGUUCAUCCUGAGCCAGGAUCAAACUCUAAUCUCUAGAG